Molecule: long non-coding RNA, 153 nt
Organism: Carassius auratus (goldfish)
Lineage: Eukaryota; Metazoa; Chordata; Actinopteri; Cypriniformes; Cyprinidae
Exons: 3
Source: RefSeq, a predicted model, not a curated record
CCCAAAACACACUUCACUGGCACGGACACCCUGUCCAACAUGCCCGUCUCAGAUGAUAAUUUGCAGAGUGAGCGCUCGAAGGCCAGGAUUGACAAAUUAAAAGAACACCACAAUAGGUGUGAAACUCGGUAUGAAUCUACGGCAGAGAAGCGA